This 152-nucleotide non-coding RNA is filed under the name Chlorocebus sabaeus (green monkey). The record is from Rfam by way of RNAcentral. Lineage: Eukaryota; Metazoa; Chordata; Mammalia; Primates; Cercopithecidae.
GCCCGGCAAGGUGGCGGGUGCCUGUAGUCCCAGCUACUCGGGAGGCUGAGGCAGGAGAAUGGCGUGAACCCGGGAGGCGGAGCUUGCAGUGAGCUGAGNCUCAGCUCACUGCAAGCUCCGCCUCCCGGGUUCACGCCAUUCUCCUGCCUCAG